GCUCAACCGGGGAGGGUCAUUGGAAACUGGGAAACUUGAGUGCAGAAGAGGAGAGUGGAAUUCCACGUGUAGCGGUGAAAUGCGUAGAGAUGUGGAGGAACACCAGUGGCGAAGGCGACUCUCUGGUCUGUAACUGACGCUGAGGAGCGGAAGCGUGGGGAGCGAACAGGAUUAGAUACCCUGGUAGUCCACGCCGUAAACGAUGAGUGCUAAGUGUUAGGGGGUUUCCGCCCCUUAGUGCUGCAGCUAACGCAUUAAGCACUCCGCCUGGGGAGUACGGUCGCAAGACUGAAACUCAAAGGAAUUGACGGGGGCCCGCACAAGCGGUGGAGCAUGUGGUUUAAUUCGAAGCAACGCGAAGAACCUUACCAGGUCUUGACAUCCUCUGACAACCCUAGAGAUAGGGCUUUCCCUUCGGGGACAGAGUGACAGGUGGUGCAUGGUUGUCGUCAGCUCGUGUCGUGAGAUGUUGGGUUAAGUCCCGCAACGAGCGCAACCCUUGAUCUUAGUUGCCAGCAUUUAGUUGGGCACUCUAAGGUGACUGCCGGUGACAAACCGGAGGAAGGUGGGGAUGACGUCAAAUCAUCAUGCCCCUUAUGACCUGGGCUACACACGUGCUACAAUGGACAGAACAAAG
RNAcentral lists this ribosomal RNA (637 nucleotides) under uncultured bacterium. RNAcentral's name for it is "bacterial SSU rRNA". It matches the Rfam family "Bacterial small subunit ribosomal RNA", at positions 607 to 1244 of the family's 1533-position model. The record is from RNAcentral.